CCCAGUCUUCCAUCUGGUCCCCUAGGGGAGUGUCCACUAGGUGGGAGACCUGCAUAAAUACCGGGCAUGUAGCCCUCAAUAAAUCAGAUUCAUGUUUUACCCUCAAGACAGAGCUUGGUCUCGUGUUUGGGGGGGAUUGCUACUUUGGAUUAUUCUUUUGCCUGUUCCAGGAGAGAAGGAUUUUGUAUGAUUCUCUAUUCGGGAAAGUGGAGUAUUUGUGAGUUGCUGGUCCCGUAUAAAGGAGCGAAGGAUUUUGUAUAUUUU
Molecule: non-coding RNA, 264 nt
Organism: Pelobates cultripes (western spadefoot toad)
Lineage: Eukaryota; Metazoa; Chordata; Amphibia; Anura; Pelobatidae
Source: the annotation of a GenBank genome assembly